This 402-nucleotide ribosomal RNA is filed under the name uncultured bacterium. RNAcentral's name for it is "bacterial SSU rRNA". It matches the Rfam family "Bacterial small subunit ribosomal RNA", at positions 355 to 774 of the family's 1533-position model. The record is from RNAcentral.
UGGGGAAUAUUGCACAAUGGGCGAAAGCCUGAUGCAGCAACGCCGCGUGAGUGAUGAAGGCCUUCGGGUUGUAAAGCUCUGUCUUCUGGGACGAUAAUGACGGUACCAGAGGAGGAAGCCACGGCUAACUACGUGCCAGCAGCCGCGGUAAUACGUAGGUGGCAAGCGUUGUCCGGAUUUACUGGGCGUAAAGGAUGCGUAGGCGGAUACUUAAGUCAGAUGUGAAAAUCCCGGGCUUAACUUGGGAACUGCAUUUGAAACUGGGUAUCUAGAGUGCGGGAGAGGAAAGUGGAAUUCCUAGUGUAGCGGUGAAAUGCGUAGAGAUUAGGAAGAACACCAGUUGCGAAGGCGGUCUCUUGGUCCGACACUGACGCUGAGGCGCGAAAGCGUGGGGAGCAAACA